CCUACGGGAGGCAGCAGUGGGGAAUAUUGGACAAUGGGCGCAAGCCUGACCCAGCAACGCCGCGUGAAUGAAGAAGGCUUUCGGGUUGUAAACUUCUUUUCUCAGGGACGAAGAAAGUGACGGUACCUGAGGAAUAAGCCACGUCUAACUACGUGCCAGCAGCCGCGGUAAUACGUGGGUGGCAAGCUUUAUCCGGAUUUAUGGGGUGUAAAGGGCGUGUAGGCGGGAGCGCAAGUCAUAUGUGAAAACUCAGGGCUUAACCCUGAGACUGCAUAUGAAACUGUGUUUCUUGAGUGCUGGAGAGGUAAGUGGAAUUCCGGGUGUAGCGGUGAAAUGCGUAGAUAUAAGGAAGAACACCAGUGGCGAAGGCGGAUUGCUGGACAGUAACUGACGCUGAGGCGCGAAAGCGUGGGGAGCAAACAGGAUUAGAUACCCGUGUAGUC
Molecule: ribosomal RNA, 443 nt
Filed under: uncultured bacterium
Lineage: Bacteria
Description: partial 16S ribosomal RNA
Rfam family: Bacterial small subunit ribosomal RNA
Source: RNAcentral